Molecule: ribosomal RNA, 709 nt
Filed under: uncultured euryarchaeote
Lineage: Archaea; Methanobacteriati; Methanobacteriota
Description: bacterial SSU rRNA
Rfam family: Archaeal small subunit ribosomal RNA
Source: RNAcentral
GACGGUGAGGGGCGAAGGCUAGGGGAGCGAACGGGAUUAGAUACCCCGGUAGUCCUAGCUGUAAAGCAUGCGGGCCAGGUGUCUGGUGUUCCUUGAGAGCACCAAGUGCCGGAGGGAAGCCGUUAAGCCCGCCGCCUGGGAAGUACGGUCGCAAGGCUGAAACUUAAAGAAAUUGGCGGGGGAGCACUACAAGGGGUGAGACCUGCGGUUCAAUUGGAUUCAACGCCGAAAAAUUCACCAGGGGCGACAGUUGAUUGAAGGCCAGGUUGACGACCUUGCCGGACUAGCUGAGAGGUGGCGCAUGGCCGUCGUCAGCUCGUACCGUGAGGCGUCCUGUCAAGUCAGGUAACGAGCGAGACCCUCGCCCUUAGUUGCCAUCGAUGGGAAGUCGGGCACUCUAGGGGGACCGCUGGCGCUAAGCCAGAGGAAGGAGAGGGCAACGGUAGGUCCGUAUGCCCCGAAUCCCCUGGGCUACACGCGAGUCGCAAUGCGCAGGACAAUGGGAUGCAACCCCGUAAGGGGAAGCCAAUCCCCUAAACCUGCGCUCGGUUCGGAUCGAGGGCUGUAACUCGCCCUCGUGAAGCUGGAAUCCCUAGUAAUCGCGUGCCAACACCGCGCGGUGAAUACGUCCCUGCUCCUUGCACACACCGCCCGUCAAGCCAUUCGAGUGGGGCCWAGAUGAGGUUCGUUCAAGUUGGGUAGACCGAAU